AACCCUUGUCUUUAGUUGCCAUCAUUAAGUUGGGCACUCUAAAGAGACUGCCGGUGUCAAACCGGAGGAAGGUGGGGAUGACGUCAAGUCCUCAUGGCCCUUAUGGGUAGGGCUUCACACGUCAUACAAUGGUCGGUACAGAGGGUUGCCAAGCCGCGAGGUGGAGCUAAUCUCUUAAAGCCGAUCGUAGUCCGGAUCGUAGUCUGCAACUCGACUACGUGAAGUCGGAAUCGCUAGUAAUCGCAGAUCAGCAUGCUGCGGUGAAUACGUUCCCGGGUCUU
This 281-nucleotide ribosomal RNA is filed under the name uncultured Azoarcus sp. Its description in RNAcentral is "partial 16S ribosomal RNA". It matches the Rfam family "Bacterial small subunit ribosomal RNA", at positions 1100 to 1382 of the family's 1533-position model. The record is from RNAcentral. Lineage: Bacteria; Pseudomonadati; Pseudomonadota; Betaproteobacteria; Rhodocyclales; Zoogloeaceae.